AAUAUAAAAAAAAGCACAUUUCUGCUCCCCAGUGAUACUGCCUGUUUGCAAAUGACUCUGCAAGCAGGUGACAGCAGAGCCCCAAAGAACCACGGUAAGCAAAUGAAGAGGUACUGCUGUCCCUUCCCCAGGAAGAGCAGUGCGCACAGCAGGCAGCAGCCUACAGCUGAUGGCUCAGAGCAAGAAAGGAAGCUGUGUGCACUGCCUGCCUUGAGCUGCCUGCAUCAGGAGCUCCCCAGUGCAUUUCCCCGGGUAGAAGGGGAGAUGCUGGGUGCCAGCCAACCUGGGGCUGUGCCACAACCACAAAGUAGCAGCCCUUGCUUCUCAGCGCACACACACUGGCCAGCUGUGGCUCUGACAGCAGUGAAUCCCACAACAGAGUGCUCACUGGGCUUCCUGUGCUGGAAGAAUGCCUAAGAAAGUUGGAAAGCACAAACAUGGUACCAUAUCUUGGACAUACCCAGACCUGCUGAUCGUCGCUGCUUCUGGCUCCUCUUCAAGUAUUUCUGGAAACUUCUGAG
This is a non-coding RNA of Meleagris gallopavo (turkey), 521 nucleotides long. Lineage: Eukaryota; Metazoa; Chordata; Aves; Galliformes; Phasianidae. The record is from RefSeq and is a predicted model, not a curated record.